GGGGGGGGCAAGCGUUGUUCGGAAUUACUGGGCGUAAAGGGUGCGUAGGCGGCUUUCUAAGUCGGAUGUGAAAACUCUGGGCUCAACCCAGAGCCUGCAUCCGAAACUGGAGAGCUAGGGUUCUGGAGGGGAAAGCGGAAUUCCUGGUGUAGCGGUGAAAUGCGUAGAUAUCAGGAGGAACACCGGUGGCGAAGGCGGCUUUCUGGACAGAUACCGACGCUGAGGCACGAAAGCUAGGGGAGCAAACAGGAUUAGAUACCCUGGUAGUCCUAGCCCUAAACUAUGGAUACUUGCUGUGGGGGGGAUUGAAGCCCCUUGUGGCGAAGCUAACGCAUUAAGUAUCCCGCCUGGGGAGUACGGUCGCAAGGCUG
Molecule: ribosomal RNA, 371 nt
Filed under: uncultured bacterium
Lineage: Bacteria
Description: bacterial SSU rRNA
Rfam family: Bacterial small subunit ribosomal RNA
Source: RNAcentral